AGAGUUUGAUCCUGGCUCAGGACGAACGCUGGCGGCACGCCUAACUCAUGCAAGUCGAACGGAGAUGAUUUGAGUUUACUUAGAUCAUCUUAGUGGCGGACGGGUGAGUAACACGUGAGCAACCUGCCUUUGAGAGAGGGAUAGCUUCUGGAAACGGAUGGUAAUACCUCAUAACAUACAGAUACCGCAUGGUGACCGUAUCAAAGAUUUAUCACUCAAAGAUGGGCUCGCGUCUGAUUAGAUAGUUGGUGAGGUAACGGCUCACCAAGUCGACGAUCAGUAGCCGGACUGAGAGGUUGAACGGCCACAUUGGGACUGAGACACGGCCCAGACUCCUACGGGAGGCAGCAGUGGGGAAUAUUGCACAAUGGGGGAAACCCUGAUGCAGCGAUGCCGCGUGGAGGAAGAAGGUUAUCGGAUUGUAAACUCCUGUCUUAAAGGACGAUAAUGACGGUACUUUAGGAGGAAGCUCCGGCUAACUACGUGCCAGCAGCCGCGGUAAUACGUAGGGAGCGAGCGUUGUCCGGAAUUACUGGGUGUAAAGGGAGCGUAGGCGGGACGGCAAGUCAGAUGUGAAAUACAUGGGCUCAACCCAUGGGCUGCAUUUGAAACUGCUGUUCUUGAGUGAAGUAGAGGUAAGCGGAAUUCCUGGUGUAGCGGUGAAAUGCGUAGAUAUCAGGAGGAACACCGGUGGCGAAGGCGGCCUACUGGGCACCAACUGACGCUGAGGCUCGAAAGUGUGGGUAGCAAACAGGAUUAGAUACCCUGGUAGUCCACACUGUAAACGAUGAUUACUAGGUGUUGGAGGAUUGACCCCUUCAGUGCCGCAGUUAACACAAUAAGUAAUCCACCUGGGGAGUACGACCGCAAGGUUGAAACUCAAAGGAAUUGACGGGGGCCCGCACAAGCAGUGGAGUAUGUGGUUUAAUUCGACGCAACGCGAAGAACCUUACCAAGUCUUGACAUCCAUCGACGACUAUAGAAAUAUAGUUUUCCUUCGGGACGGUGAGACAGGUGGUGCAUGGUUGUCGUCAGCUCGUGUCGUGAGAUGUUGGGUUAAGUCCCGCAACGAGCGCAACCCUUAUGUCAGUUACUACGCAAGAGGACUCUGGCCAGACUGCCGUUGACAAAACGGAGGAAGGUGGGGAUGACGUCAAAUCAUCAUGCCCUUUAUGACUUGGGCUACACACGUACUACAAUGGCGUUAAACAAAGAGAAGCAAGACCGCGAGGUGGAGCAAAACUCAGAAACAACGUCCCAGUUCGGACUGCAGGCUGCAACUCGCCUGCACGAAGUCGGAAUUGCUAGUAAUCGCAGAUCAGCAUGCUGCGGUGAAUACGUUCCCGGGCCUUGUACACACCGCCCAUCACACCAUGAGAGCCGGGGGGACCCGAAGUCGGUAGUCUAACCGCAAGGAGGACGCCGCCGAAGGUAAAACUGGUGAUUGGGGUGAAGUCGUAACAAGGUA
Molecule: ribosomal RNA, 1468 nt
Filed under: metagenome
Description: bacterial SSU rRNA
Rfam family: Bacterial small subunit ribosomal RNA
Source: RNAcentral